This 376-nucleotide long non-coding RNA is filed under the name Homo sapiens (human). Its description in RNAcentral is "HSALNT0197729". Lineage: Eukaryota; Metazoa; Chordata; Mammalia; Primates; Hominidae. The record is from RNAcentral.
CAUACUACACACACAGUACACACACCACUACACACUACAUACAAACCACUACACACACUACACACACACACCACUACACGCACACUACACACACCACUACACACACCACUACACGCACACACUACACACACCACUACACACACACAGCAUUACACACACUACACACACCACUACACGCACACACCAUUACACACACACUACACACACCACUGCACACACUACACAUACACACCACUACACACACCAUUACACACACACUACAAACACCACUACACACACACUACACACACACCACUACACUACACACACCACUAUGCACACUACAUACACACACCACUACACUCACACACCAUUACACACACACUACACACACCAC